GUGGGGAAUCUUCCGCAAUGGACGAAAGUCUGACGGAGCAACGCCGCGUGAGUGAAGAAGGUUUUCGGAUCGUAAAGCUCUUUCGUUAGGGACGAACGUGCUCUUUGUGAAUAAUGAGGAGUAAUGACGGUACCUAAAUAAGAAGCCACGGCUAACUACGUGCCAGCAGCCGCGGUAAUACGUAGGUGGCAAGCGUUGUCCGGAAUUAUUGGGCGUAAAGCGCGCGCAGGCGGGAUAUCAAGUCUGUCUUAAAAGUGCGAGGCUCAACCUCGUGAGGGGACAGCAACUGGUAUUCUUGAGUGUCGGAGAGGAAAGUGGAAUUCCAAGUGUAGCGGUGAAAUGCGUAGAGAUUUGGAAGAACACCAGUGGCGAAGGCGACUUUCUGGACGAUGACUGACGCUGAGGCGCGAAAGCUAGGGGAGCGAACGGGAUUAGAAACCCGUGUAGUCC
RNAcentral lists this ribosomal RNA (450 nucleotides) under uncultured bacterium. RNAcentral's name for it is "partial 16S ribosomal RNA". It matches the Rfam family "Bacterial small subunit ribosomal RNA", at positions 354 to 796 of the family's 1533-position model. The record is from RNAcentral.